Molecule: long non-coding RNA, 795 nt
Organism: Zea mays
Lineage: Eukaryota; Viridiplantae; Streptophyta; Magnoliopsida; Poales; Poaceae
Exons: 4
Source: RefSeq, a predicted model, not a curated record
GGAUGUGUAGAUGCUCCUUUAUCGCCACCAAAAGAUGUUCACAAUACUAUGAAACGGAAACGAAUUUAUUGUCAACUUCGUAGUGAAGAUUCUAGUAUGCUUGAUGAACUGAAUAACACAAUGGGGGAUGAAAACGAAGAUGAUGAGUAUGAGGAACUACAGGCACAAUACAAAUGUUCGAAAAUUCAGGAUAAGACAAAUGCCUCAAAAGCCCAAGAUGGAAAAUUACACCAAAGCAAAAAAAGGUUCUAUGUUGCAAAAGGUCAACUUUAUUCCCUCUUUUGAUGCAUAGAUAAAUCCUAUCUUAUCAAGUCAUAUUAUACUUCAAUAAUCUGCAUUCAGCCAACAUUUCAUUCUUUUAACCUAAGUUAGUUUUCUUUGUCUUUGUUCAGUGGCGGGUAACCCUGUGUUUGAUGGUAACCAUUGGAUGUUUGUCUUGGGUAAAAAUGGAUUUAGAUGAAGCUUUCUCUAGUAUUUCUAUUAUAAACUAUAAUUUAAUCUUAUAUUCAUUAUUUUGUUAAGUAUUAGUAGUAAGUGAUCAACUCAUCUGGGAAUUUUGGUGUUUGCCCACUUAAUAUAAUGUGGAGAUCAUGAGGUAGACAGGGUUACUAAAUGAAUGUAGAAUGCAUAUAUGUAGUUGUUUUCCUCACUUUUUUGUAAAGGAUUAAUUCUCUAAUCCCUGCUAUGAAUACUAUCUUAAUAACCCAUAAACACAUGUUUAUUGUUGUUAUCUUAACAUAUCACAUCCAUUUUUAACCUACAUUUCGAUGAGCUAUGCUACUACUGUAUCUUUCU